UGCAUUUAAGAGGUUUUUCUUUUUAAUUUGUACAAAUCUCCUUAGAAGGAAUAUAAUUUUGCAGAUGAUUUGUGGUUCUCUCUCGUUGAGCAACAAAAGUUGCCGAUAUGAGCUCAAGCUUUGCUGUAA
Rhodamnia argentea is the source of this 129-nucleotide long non-coding RNA. RefSeq lists it as uncharacterized. The transcript is spliced from 3 exons. Lineage: Eukaryota; Viridiplantae; Streptophyta; Magnoliopsida; Myrtales; Myrtaceae. The record is from RefSeq and is a predicted model, not a curated record.